This 233-nucleotide long non-coding RNA is filed under the name Homo sapiens (human). RNAcentral describes it as "HSALNT0339552". Lineage: Eukaryota; Metazoa; Chordata; Mammalia; Primates; Hominidae. The record is from RNAcentral.
GAUUUAUAUCCUGGGCAGAAUGGAGUAGGACAGUGAAAGAUUUCGCCAACAUAUUCAGAAUAGCAUGCAAUUUAAAACUUAUUUUGAAGUUGGAAGAAGUGGCAAAAUGUGAAAAGCAAGAAGCAAGUAUUACCAGAGACACCUAUGAAAAAGAAAUCUUUCUGAAGAACAUUUUUAAAGUGCCAUAAUCUGUUCGCUCAUGGCCCAUAGUGUUGGUGAGGCCAACACUAUAG